Molecule: ribosomal RNA, 253 nt
Filed under: Anaerobutyricum hallii
Lineage: Bacteria; Bacillati; Bacillota; Clostridia; Lachnospirales; Lachnospiraceae
Also listed under: 1 other name
Description: partial 16S ribosomal RNA
Rfam family: Bacterial small subunit ribosomal RNA
Source: RNAcentral
UACGUAUGGAGCAAGCGUUAUCCGGAUUUACUGGGUGUAAAGGGUGCGUAGGCGGCGCGGCAAGUCAGAUGUGAAAGACCGGGGCUCAACCCCGGGGCUGCAUUUGAAACUGCGGUGCUCGAGUCCAGGAGAGGCAGGCGGAAUUCCUAGUGUAGCGGUGAAAUGCGUAGAUAUUAGGAGGAACACCAGUGGCGAAGGCGGCCUGCUGGACUGGUACUGACGCUGAGGCACGAAAGCGUGGGGAGCAAACAGG